Oryctolagus cuniculus (rabbit) is the source of this 2142-nucleotide non-coding RNA. NCBI's taxonomy places the organism in Eukaryota, Metazoa, Chordata, Mammalia, Lagomorpha, Leporidae. The record is from RefSeq and is a predicted model, not a curated record.
GAUCACGUGACAGGCACUCCUGUCAUUCUACUGCAGCGGCUCAGACUUCCUUCAGCCGGUGCGGUCCUAAACGUCUCUUUGGGCUGGGAUCCCGUUCACUUUUUGGUCUCCGGGUGUCCCGCCGCUGCUCGGGUCUCCAGACCGGAAAGAGGACGCCGCUCGACUUUGACUCGGUUCCCCAGCCCAGCUGUGGCCCCGGCGUCCCGGACCGCCGCACCCUCCCUGCCACCUUUGGGUGCGUUGUGGGGGUCCCGGUGCUUGUUUUGUCUCCGGCACCCGCCCAGAUCUGUUGAAAAACACUCAAGAUUAUAAAAUUUAAAUGACCAAAAUGGAUAUCCGAGGUGCUGUGGAUGCUGCUGUCCCAACCAAUAUUAUUGCUGCCAAGGCUGCAGAAGUUCGUGCAAACAAAGUGAACUGGCAGUCCUAUCUUCAGGGGCAGAUGAUUUCUGCUGAAGAUUGUGAGUUUAUCCAAAGAUUUGAGAUGAAAAGAAGUCCUGAAGAGAAGCAAGAAAUGCUUCAAACUGAAGGCAGUCAGUGUGCCAAGACAUUUAUAAACCUGAUGACUCACAUCUCCAAGGAACAGACAGUGCAGUAUAUACUGACUAUGGUGGAUGAUAUGCUGCAGGAAAAUCAUCAACGUGUUAGCAUUUUCUUUGACUAUGCAAAACGUAGCAAGAACACUGCCUGGCCCUACUUUCUGCCAAUGUUGAAUCGCCAAGAUCCCUUUACUGUUCAUAUGGCAGCAAGAAUUAUUGCCAAGUUAGCAGCUUGGGGAAAAGAAUUGAUGGAGGGCAGUGACUUAAAUUACUAUUUCAAUUGGAUAAAAACUCAGCUGAGCUCACAGAAACUGCGUGGUAGCGGUGUUGCUGUUGAAACAGGAACAGUCUCUUCAAGUGAUAGUUCUCAAUACGUGCAGUGCGUUGCUGGGUGUUUGCAGCUGAUGCUCCGGGUCAAUGAGUACCGCUUUGCCUGGGUGGAAGCAGAUGGGGUAAACUGCAUAAUGGGAGUUUUGAGUAACAAGUGUGGUUUUCAACUCCAAUAUCAAAUGAUUUUUUCAAUAUGGCUCCUGGCAUUCAGUCCUCAAAUGUGUGAACACCUGCGGCGCUACAAUAUCAUUCCUGUUCUGUCCGAUAUCCUUCAAGAAUCCGUCAAAGAGAAAGUAACAAGAAUCAUUCUUGCAGCAUUCCGUAACUUUUUAGAAAAAUCAACUGAAAGAGAAACUCGCCAAGAAUAUGCUUUGGCAAUGAUUCAGUGCAAAGUUCUGAAGCAGUUGGAGAACUUGGAACAGCAGAAAUAUGAUGACGAAGAUAUCAGUGAAGAUAUCAAAUUUCUUCUGGAAAAACUUGGUGAGAGUGUCCAGGAUCUUAGCUCAUUUGAUGAGUACAGUUCGGAACUUAAAUCUGGAAGGUUGGAAUGGAGUCCUGUGCACAAAUCUGAGAAAUUUUGGAGAGAGAAUGCAGUGAGGUUAAAUGAGAAGAAUUACGAACUCUUAAAAAUCUUGACAAAACUUCUAGAGGUGUCAGAUGACCCCCAAGUCUUAGCUGUGGCUGCUCACGAUGUUGGAGAAUAUGUGCGGCAUUAUCCACGGGGCAAACGGGUUAUUGAACAGCUUGGUGGGAAGCAGCUGGUGAUGAACCACAUGCAUCAUGAAGACCAACAGGUCCGCUACAAUGCUCUGCUGGCCGUGCAGAAGCUCAUGGUGCACAACUGAAUGAUUUUAAAUGUAAUCAACCUCUAAUUCAGAAGCAGCAAUGUGUGCAUAUGGACAGCUCAGGACUUCAGGAAAGACACACUGAAUUUUGGAAUAUCUCGGCAAACAGCUUCAAUCAGAGCAGCCUCAGACUACUGCUGCACGGAGUUGAGCGCUGCCUCUCAGCCCCCUUAUCUGUGGCAGAGCACCUGGAGUGGGGACCUCAGUGUUUAGGGUUGAGAAUGAAUCACUUUUCAUUUUGCUAGUAUUUUUCUUCCAUCGUGUGGCUUUUCUCAGUGCUAUUUUCAAAAACAAGUGUUUGGUCUUUAAGUUGUAAAAAAGUUGCUGCUUUCUGUAUCUAAAGAAAAUACUACUGUUAUAUAUACUGCUUGCAAUUCCUGUAUUUAUUGUUCUCUGGAAAUGAAUAUAGUUAUUAAAGGAUUCUCACUCCA